Molecule: transfer RNA, 65 nt
Filed under: Cicadellidae gen. sp. 1 JCX-2018
Lineage: Eukaryota; Metazoa; Arthropoda; Insecta; Hemiptera; Cicadellidae
Description: tRNA-Phe
Source: RNAcentral
AUUCUUAUAGCUUAAAUUUAAAGUAUUUCUUUGAAGAUGAAAAUAUAGACUUGGUCUUAAGGGUG